AUAUGCAUCCCAAAGAAAGAUGGAGGUAUGGGCUUUCGUGAUCUGCACUCUUUUAAUUUAGCUAUGUUGGCGAAACAAUCUUAGAGACUGAUUUCAAAUCUAGAUUCUCGGUGUGCCAGAGUUCUUAAGAAAUAUUACUCAAGUUGUCACUUGUUGAAGGCGGGUCCGAAGAAAGGGUCAUCUUUUACCUGGCAAAGCAUAGUAGCAGGUCUACGUACUUUUUGCAGAGGACACAUUUGGAGAGUGGGUUUAGGGGAGAUGAUCAACAUCUGGGAGAAUCACUGGAUUCUAGGAAGCAUAAAUCGCAUGAUACAGACUCCCAAGGGACAAAUAUUAUUGCAAACAGUUAAUGAGCUCAUUGAUCCAACGACUGGCAAAUGGGAUGAGUGGUUAAUCCGUGAUAUUUUUUACCCUAUAGAUGUGGACAGAAUCUUGCGGAUUCCUUUAAGCGAACACCAAGAGGAAGAUUUUGUGGCUUGGAAUUAUACAAAAUCUUAUUCGUUCUCCGUCCGAUCU
RNAcentral lists this ribosomal RNA (516 nucleotides) under Triticum aestivum (bread wheat). RNAcentral's name for it is "partial small subunit ribosomal RNA". Lineage: Eukaryota; Viridiplantae; Streptophyta; Magnoliopsida; Poales; Poaceae. The record is from RNAcentral.